UACGGAGGGUGCGAGCGUUGUUCGGAAUUACUGGGCGUAAAGCGCGGGCAGGUGGUCCGUUAAGUCUUUUGUGAAACUCCGGGGCUCAACCCCGGACAUGCAGAGGAUACUGGCGGACUGGAGAUCGGUAGAGGCUAACGGAAUUCCUGGUGUAGCGGUGGAAUGCGUAGAUAUCAGGAAGAACACCCGGUGGCGAAGGCGGUUAGCUGGGCCGAGUCUGACACUCGAGUCCGACGAAAGCGUGGGGAGCAAACAGGAUUAGAUACCCCCGUAGUCC
Molecule: ribosomal RNA, 277 nt
Filed under: uncultured bacterium
Lineage: Bacteria
Description: partial 16S ribosomal RNA
Rfam family: Bacterial small subunit ribosomal RNA
Source: RNAcentral